GACGAACGCUGGCGGCGUGCUUAACACAUGCAAGUCGAACGGAAAGGCCCUGCUUGCUGGGUACUCGAGUGGCGAACGGGUGAGUAACACGUGGGUGAUCUGCCCUGCACUUCGGGAUAAGCCUGGGAAACUGGGUCUAAUACCGGAUAGGAGCCAUUUCUAGUGUGAUGGUUGGAAAGUUUUUUCGGUGUAGGAUGAGCUCGCGGCCUAUCAGCUUGUUGGUGGGGUAAUGGCCUACCAAGGCGGCGACGGGUAGCCGGACUGGGGGGGUGGACGGCCACAUUGAGACUGAGAGGCGGCCCAGGCUCCGACGGGUGGCAGAAGGGGGGAAUAUUGCACAAGGGGCGCAGGCCUGAUGCAGCGACGCCGCGGGGGGGAUGACGGCCUUCGGGUUGUAGACUCCUUUCGCUAGGAACGAAGCUUUUUGUGACGGUACCUAGAGAAGAAGCACCGGCUAACUACGUG
Molecule: ribosomal RNA, 465 nt
Filed under: uncultured bacterium
Lineage: Bacteria
Description: partial 16S ribosomal RNA
Rfam family: Bacterial small subunit ribosomal RNA
Source: RNAcentral